Molecule: ribosomal RNA, 656 nt
Filed under: Biscogniauxia mangiferae
Lineage: Eukaryota; Fungi; Ascomycota; Sordariomycetes; Xylariales; Xylariaceae
Description: partial large subunit ribosomal RNA
Rfam family: Eukaryotic large subunit ribosomal RNA
Source: RNAcentral
CCUGGAACGGGACGCCUUAGAGGGUGAGAGCCCCGUACGGUUGGACACCAAGCCUCUGUAAAGCUCCUUCGACGAGUCGAGUAGUUUGGGAAUGCUGCUCUAAAUGGGAGGUAAAUUUCUUCUAAAGCUAAAUACCGGCCAGAGACCGAUAGCGCACAAGUAGAGUGAUCGAAAGAUGAAAAGCACUUUGAAAAGAGGGUUAAAUAGCACGUGAAAUUGUUGAAAGGGAAGCGUUUACGGCCAGACCUUUUCCUGGCGGAUCAUCCUGUGUUCUCACUGGUGCACUCCGCUAGGUUUAGGCCAGCAUCGGCUUCUGUAGGGGGAUAAAAGCCCUGGGAAAGUAGCUCUCUAGGGAGUGUUAUAGCCCUAGGCAUAAUACCCUUACGGGGGCCGAGGACCGCGCUCUGCAAGGAUGCUGGCGUAAUGGUCGUCAACGACCCGUCUUGAAACACGGACCAAGGAGUCGAACAUUUGUGCGAGUGUUUGGGUGUCAAACCCUCACGCGUAAUGAAAGUGAACGGAGGUGAGAGCCCUUUACGGGGUGCAUCAUCGACCGAUCCUGAUGUCUUCGGAUGGAUUUGAGUAAGAGCAUAAAUGUUCGGACCCGAAAGAUGGUGAACUAUGCGUGGAUAGGGUGAAGCCAGAGGAAACUCUGG